GGGGAUGAUCGGCCUAGACAGGCGAUCAACUCUGGUCGGUGCUAUGCCGAGAAUGCUCGAGAACUCGUUAAAUCUCGAACACCAACCUCGUUGCAAAAAACAACCUCGUUGCAAAAGUAAAGGCAUCAGUUUCUCCGUAUUUUACGGCGAACGCCUUUACUCCUGCUUACGCUCUCGUAGCCUAAACAGCAUUCGCGCUUCGUACGCCCUCUAGGUAGUCGCGGGUGAUAUAAAAUGAGGGCUCAUCACUUUGAAUGACUCUACCAAGUGAAAAAACAUAGAGCAUCGGUACUAUAUAAUUUAGAAUACUUUUGAUAUAUAGUGCUUAAAACAAACAGAAGUCUUCUACGCAUAGUAGGCUCUUACCAGAACAUCGUCUGCACGGGGGUUCGAUUCCCCCCAUCUCCACAU
Molecule: non-coding RNA, 411 nt
Organism: Candidatus Yonathbacteria bacterium
Lineage: Bacteria; Candidatus Yonathiibacteriota
Source: Rfam